GCGACCCCAGGACGGGCGAGGCCACCCGCAGAGUUUAAGCAUAUCAAUAAGCGGAGGAGAAG
This 62-nucleotide ribosomal RNA is filed under the name Maxillaria pseudoneglecta. RNAcentral describes it as "partial 26S ribosomal RNA". The record is from RNAcentral. Lineage: Eukaryota; Viridiplantae; Streptophyta; Magnoliopsida; Asparagales; Orchidaceae.